Molecule: ribosomal RNA, 253 nt
Filed under: uncultured bacterium
Lineage: Bacteria
Description: partial 16S ribosomal RNA
Rfam family: Bacterial small subunit ribosomal RNA
Source: RNAcentral
UACAGAGGGAGCAAGCGUUAUUCGGAAUUAUUGGGCGUAAAGGGCGCGUAGGCGGCUUUGCAAGUGACGGGUGAAAGCCCUCGGCUUAACCGAGGAACUGCCUGUCAGACUGUGAGGCUUGAGACCGGGAGAGGUGAGUGGAAUUCCUGGUGUAGCGGUGGAAUGCGCAGAUAUCAGGAGGAACACCGGUGGCGAAGGCGGGUCUCUGGGCAGUAACUGACGCUGAGGAGCGAAAGCGUGGGGACCGAACAGG